UCAAGCUACUAAGGGCAUACGGUGGAUGCCUAGGCGCCAAGAGCCGAAGAAGGACGCGGUAAGCUGCGAAAAGCCACGGGGAACUGCAAGCAAGUAUUGAUCCGUGGAUAUCCGAAUGGGGAAACCCGGCCAUCGUCAUGGAUGGUCACCCGCAAGGGAGGGAACCUGGGGAACUGAAACAUCUAAGUACCCGGAGGAAGAGAAAUCAAACGAGAUGCCCACAGUAGCGGCGAGCGAAGAGGGCAGAGCCCAAACCGAGAAGCUCCGGCUUUUCGGGGUUGAGGACCGGCAGAAUCGAAGUCAGGCCUAGUUGAAUUACCUGGAAAGGUAAGCGAGAGAGGGUAAAAGCCCCGUAGACGAAAGGCAGAGCAGAGAGGCCGAGAUCCAGAGUACCACGAAGCACGAGGAAUUUUGUGGGAAGCAGGGGGGACCACCCUCCAAGGCUAAAAACUACUUGGCGACCGAUAGCGCAUAGUACCGUGAGGGAAAGGUGAAAAGAACCCCGGGAGGGGAGUGAAAUAGUACCUGAAACCGUAUGUCUACAAGCAGUCGAAGCGAAAGCGACGGCGUGCCUAUUGAAGAAUGAACCAACGAGUUAUCUGCACUAGCGAGGUUAAGUGGAAGACACGGAGCCGCAGCGAAAGCGAGUCUUAAGAGGGCGCUAGUUAGUGUAGGUAGACCCGAAACCGCAGUGAUCUACCCAUGUCCAGGUUGAAGCGCAGGUAAAAUUGCGUGGAGGACCGAACCGGUGAGCGUUGAAAAGCUUUCGGAUGAGAUGUGGGUAGGGGUGAAAUUCCAAUCGAACGCGGAGAUAGCUGGUUCUCCCCGAAAUAGCUUUAGGGCUAGCCUGAGGUAGUAAGUAUAGGCGGUAGAGCACUGAUCGGGCUAGGGGCCGUAAAGGUUACCGAACCCUGUCAAACUCCGAAUGGAUAUACUGUAGAGCCUUGGAGUCAGACUACGAGUGAUAAGAUCCGUGGUCAAAAGGGAAACAGCCCAGACCACCAGCUAAGGUCCCCAAUGUCGUACUAAGUGGAAAAGGAUGUGGGGUUUCAUAAACAACCAGGAUGUUGGCUCAGAAGCAGCCACCAUUUAAAGAGUGCGUAAUAGCUCACUGGUCGAGAGACCCUGCGCCGAAGAUUCCCGGGGCUAAAGUACGAAACCGAAGCUGUGGCUGUAUACGUAAAGUAUACGGGGUAGGGGAGCGUUCCCAUAGGGUAGAAGUCGAACUGGAAGGUUCGGUGGACUUGUGGGAAGUGAGAAUGUUGGUAUGAGUAGCGAAAAGAAAGGUGAGAAUCCUUUCCACCGAAAGCAUAAGGAUUCCUGAGCAACGAUCGUCGUCUCAGGGUAAGUCGGGACCUAAUCCGAGGCAGAGAGCGUAGGAGAUGGACAACUGGUUGAUAUUCCAGUACCGGUAGUAAUUGUUUGAGCAAUGGAGUGACACAGAAGGGCAGGCAAGCAUGCGAAUGGAAGAGCAUGUGUAAGCGUGUAGGGUGGUGCAUAGGCAAAUCCGUGCACUGAAAGCCUGAGGCGUGAUGCGGAGUGAGCAGAGAUGCGAGCGAAGUUGUUGACCCCACACUGUCGAGAAAAGCUUCUAGUGAGAGAGCUACCGCCCGUACCGUAAACCGACACAGGUAUGCGGGGAGAGAAUCCUAAGGUGCGCGGGAGAACCCUCGUUAAGGAACUCGGCAAAAUGUACCCGUAACUUCGGGAUAAGGGUAGCCACUGUUGUGAAGUCCCAUGCGGAUGGAGCAUAGAGUGGUCGCAGAGAAGAGGCCCAAGCGACUGUUUACCAUAAACACAGGUGCCUGCUAAAGCGAAAGCUGACGUAUAGGUGCUGACACCUGCCCAGUGCCGGAAGGUUAAGGAAGGAUGUUCGGAUUAGUCCAAAGCAUUCGACUGAAGCCCCGGUGAACGGCGGCCGUAACUAUAACGGUCCUAAGGUAGCGAAAUUCCUUGUCGGGUAAGUUCCGACCCGCACGAAAGGUGUAACGAUUUGGGCACUGUCUCAACGAGGGACCCGGUGAAAUUGAAAUACCUGUGAAGAUGCAGGUUACCCGCGACUGGACAGAAAGACCCCAUGGAGCUUUACUGUAACCUGACAUUGGGUUUUGAUACAUUACGUACAGGAUAGGUGGGAGGCAUGGAAAGUUGGACGCUAGUCUGACUGGAGCCGACGUUGGGAUACCACCCUUGAUGUAUUGAAAUUCUAACCGCGAGAGUAACGAAAUCCGGGACAGUGUCAGGCGGGCAGUUUGACUGGGGCGGUCGCCUCCGAAAGAGUAACGGAG
Molecule: ribosomal RNA, 2288 nt
Filed under: human gut metagenome
Description: bacterial LSU rRNA
Rfam family: Bacterial large subunit ribosomal RNA
Source: RNAcentral